UACGGAGGGUGCAAGCGUUAUCCGGAUUUACUGGGUUUAAAGGGUGCGUAGGCGGACAGGUAAGUCAGUGGUGAAAUCCCCGAGCUCAACUUGGGAACUGCCGUUGAUACUAUCUGUCUUGAAUACCGUGGAGGUGAGCGGAAUAUGUCAUGUAGCGGUGAAAUGCUUAGAUAUGACAUAGAACACCGAUUGCGAAGGCAGCUCACUACGCGGUCAUUGACGCUGAGGCACGAAAGCGUGGGGAGCGAACAGG
Molecule: ribosomal RNA, 253 nt
Filed under: uncultured bacterium
Lineage: Bacteria
Description: partial 16S ribosomal RNA
Rfam family: Bacterial small subunit ribosomal RNA
Source: RNAcentral